This 222-nucleotide ribosomal RNA is filed under the name Yersinia pestis Nepal516. RNAcentral's name for it is "partial 16S ribosomal RNA". It matches the Rfam family "Bacterial small subunit ribosomal RNA", at positions 33 to 251 of the family's 1533-position model. The record is from RNAcentral. Lineage: Bacteria; Pseudomonadati; Pseudomonadota; Gammaproteobacteria; Enterobacterales; Yersiniaceae.
ACGCUGGCGGCAGGCCUAACACAUGCAAGUCGAGCGGCAGCGGGAAGUAGUUUACUACUUUGCCGGCGAGCGGCGGACGGGUGAGUAAUGUCUGGGGAUCUGCCUGAUGGAGGGGGAUAACUACUGGAAACGGUAGCUAAUACCGCAUGACCUCGCAAGAGCAAAGUGGGGGACCUUAGGGCCUCACGCCAUCGGAUGAACCCAGAUGGGAUUAGCUAGUAG